Molecule: ribosomal RNA, 180 nt
Filed under: uncultured Cohnella sp.
Lineage: Bacteria; Bacillati; Bacillota; Bacilli; Caryophanales; Paenibacillaceae
Description: partial 16S ribosomal RNA
Source: RNAcentral
GCACUCGGCGCGUACUCCGUAUGACCGCGGCUGCUGGCUCCCGUAUGACCGCGGCUGCCGCCUACAGUAGAACUUUACUACCCGAAAGCCUUCUUCACUCACGCGGCGUGGCUCCAUCACGCUUGCGCCCAUUGUGGAAGAUUCCCUACUGCUGCCUCCCGUAGGUCAGGGUUCUGUGGA